RNAcentral lists this ribosomal RNA (482 nucleotides) under uncultured bacterium. Its description in RNAcentral is "partial 16S ribosomal RNA". It matches the Rfam family "Bacterial small subunit ribosomal RNA", at positions 28 to 507 of the family's 1533-position model. The record is from RNAcentral.
GAUGAACGCUAGCGGCAGGCCUAAUACAUGCAAGUCGAACGAGAUUACGAGGCUUGCUUCUUAUGAAAGUGGCGCACGGGUGCGUAACGCGUAUGCAACCUACCUUAAUCAGGGGGAUAGCCCGAAGAAAUUCGGAUUAAGACCGCAUAAAAACACAGGAUAGCAUUAUCCAAUGUUCAAAUAUUUAUAGGAUUAAGAUGGGCAUGCGUGUCAUUAGCUAGUUGGCGGGGUAACGGCCCACCAAGGCGACGAUGACUAGGGGAUCUGAGAGGAUGACCCACGACGCUGGUACUGAGACACGGACCAGACUGGUACGGAAGGCAGCAGUAAGGAAUAUUGGUCAAUGGAGGGAACUCUGGACCAGCCAUGCCGCGUGCAGGGAGACAGCCCUCUGGAUCGUAAACUGCUUUUAUUCGGGAAUAAACCUUUCUACGUGUAGGAAGCUGAAUGUACCGAAGGAAUAAGGAUCGGCUAACUCCGUG